This is a small nuclear RNA of Cajanus cajan (pigeon pea), 195 nucleotides long. It matches the Rfam family "U2 spliceosomal RNA". Rfam says of the family: U2 is a small nuclear RNA (snRNA) component of the spliceosome (involved in pre-mRNA splicing). NCBI's taxonomy places the organism in Eukaryota, Viridiplantae, Streptophyta, Magnoliopsida, Fabales, Fabaceae. The record is from Rfam.
AUACCUUUCUCGGCCUUUUGGCUAAGAUCAAGUGUAGUAUCUGUUCUUAUCAGUGUAAUAUCUGAUAUGUGAGCCAAUGGUUCACACGAUAUUAAAUUAUUUUUUUUAGGGAGGGGGUCCAGUACAGUAGCUUGCUACUGGGACUCUCAAGUGUUGCCUAUGUCUUGCACUGCAGCAUAGGCUGGCACACCCAAC